RNAcentral lists this ribosomal RNA (372 nucleotides) under uncultured organism. Its description in RNAcentral is "bacterial SSU rRNA". It matches the Rfam family "Bacterial small subunit ribosomal RNA", at positions 526 to 896 of the family's 1533-position model. The record is from RNAcentral.
CGUAGGUGGCAAGCGUUGUCCGGAUUUACUGGGCGUAAAGGGCGUGCAGGCGGUCUGUUAAGUCUAGGGUGAAAGCUCCCGGCUCAACUGGGAGAGGUCCUUGGAUACUGGCGGACUUGAGGGAGGUAGAGGAGAAUGGAAUUCCCGGUGUAGUGGUGAUAUGCGUAGAUAUCGGGAGGAACACCUGUGGCGAAGGCGGUUCUCUGGGCCUUACCUGACGCUGAGACGCGAAAGCGUGGGGAGCGAACCGGAUUAGAUACCCGGGUAGUCCACGCCGUAAACUAUGGACACUAGGUGUGGGGGGUAUCGACCCCCUCCGUGCCGAAGCUAACGCAAUAAGUGUCCCGCCUGGGGAGUACGGCCGCAAGGCUA